RNAcentral lists this ribosomal RNA (449 nucleotides) under uncultured bacterium. RNAcentral describes it as "bacterial SSU rRNA". It matches the Rfam family "Bacterial small subunit ribosomal RNA", at positions 354 to 796 of the family's 1533-position model. The record is from RNAcentral.
GUCGAGAAUCUUUCACAAUGGGGGCAACCCUGAUGGAGCGACGCCGCGUGGAGGAUAAGGUCUUCGGAUUGUAAACUCCUGUCAUGCGUGAACAAGGUUGCUUGGUUAAUACCUGGGCAAAUUGAUGGUAACGCAAGAGGAAGAGACGGCUAACUCUGUGCCAGCAGCCGCGGUAAUACAGAGGUCUCAAGCGUUGUUCGGAAUCACUGGGCGUACAGGGUGCGUAGGUGGCGUGGUAAGUCAGAUGUGAAAACCCGGGGCUCAACCUCGGAACUGCAUCCGAUACUGCCAUGCUAGAGUACUGGAGAGGUGACUAGAAUUCUCGGUGUAGCAGUGAAAUGCGUAGAUAUCGAGAGGAAUACCAAAGGCGUAGGCAGGUCACUGGACAGUUACUGACACUGAGGCACGAAGGCCAGGGGAGCGAACGGGAUUAGAAACCCCGGUAGUCC